GACGAACGCUGGCGGCGUGCUUAACACAUGCAAGUCGAACGGAAAGGCCCUGCUUUUGUGGGGUGCUCGAGUGGCGAACGGGUGAGUAACACGUGAGUAACCUGCCCUUGACUUUGGGAUAACUUCAGGAAACUGGGGCUAAUACCGGAUAGGAGCCCCUGCUGCAUGGUGGGGGUUGGAAAGUUUCGGCGGUUGGGGAUGGACUCGCGGCUUAUCAGCUUGUUGGUGGGGUAGUGGCUUACCAAGGCUUUGACGGGUAGCCGGCCUGAGAGGGUGACCGGCCACAUUGGGACUGAGAGACGGCCCAGACUCCUACGGGAGGCAGCAGUGGGGAGUAUUGCACAAUGGGCGGAAGCCUGAUGCAGCAACGCCGCGUGCGGGAUGACGGCCUGCGGGUUGUAAACCGCUUUCGCCUGUGACGAAGCGUGAGUGACGGUAAUGGGUAAAGAAGCACCGGCUAACUACGUG
RNAcentral lists this ribosomal RNA (468 nucleotides) under uncultured bacterium. RNAcentral's name for it is "partial 16S ribosomal RNA". It matches the Rfam family "Bacterial small subunit ribosomal RNA", at positions 28 to 507 of the family's 1533-position model. The record is from RNAcentral.